This is a long non-coding RNA of Capsicum annuum, 1379 nucleotides long. RefSeq lists it as uncharacterized. The record is from RefSeq and is a predicted model, not a curated record. The transcript is spliced from 3 exons. NCBI's taxonomy places the organism in Eukaryota, Viridiplantae, Streptophyta, Magnoliopsida, Solanales, Solanaceae.
AGUACUAUUUUCCUGUUAAAAAGAAAAAAAGAGGAAGAAUUUCUCAAGAUUCAAUUUAAAAUUAUCAGACCGCAUAUAAUGUGGAUGAUAAGCAAGCAUCUGGGUUUUAUUCAUUAGCACAAAAUGACGCGGGAAGAACGUUGUACAGGGCCAAUCCAUGGCCAAAAUCUCCCUGUUCUCUCUGCCUUCACGAAUGUUAAUCCCUUAUAGAAUUGAUACCAAAAAGGAGAAACACAUUAUAGAUGUAGAAUUGGGUAACUGAAAAAUCAAGGAGCAAACCAAGAAACGUCAGUAAUUGUCUUGAAGGAUUAUUCAAAGAAAUGGCUACAAUUUCCCCAAAAAAACUUAGAAGACUGGGACAUCGGUUUAAGAGGAAGAAAUACUGCCCCAAGAAACUAGGAGCAUUCCACAAAUUCAAAGGAUUAGGACUCAAAUUCAAGAUCUCAAGAAAGAAGGCUUUGAAGAAUGAAAUCUGCCAAGGUGUGACUUUUCCUUAUUCUUGGAAAGGAAAUUCUCAUUUACCUUAAUUUCCAAGGAUCAAAAUCUCUUGGGUUGCCAUUUCUUCAAUCUCCAAACUUCUAGUUUUCUCCUCUAUUUCAGGAAGACAUUGGUUUACCUAAUCGGUAUUCAAACUGUAUUAGCCAACUACAAGUCUUUGCUCUACUUUUAAAUAAGCAUUCUAUUACUUAGUGCGAUAGUAUGUAACAAAAAAAGAGAGGAGAGAAAAACAAUUGGUGAGGCAUUGAACCAAAGAAAUAAUAAGAGAAGAAAAAGAUUGAGAAAAGAGUGAAAAAAGAGAAAAGAAAAGAAUGAGAAGAGAGACAUUGAGAGUAGCAAUAGAAGUUCUGUUCCCAAAGUUGUACCAAAACCAACCAUUUGCAAGGACUUAGAAGAGAACGCCCUUCUUGCACUUUCACUUGCACUCCUGACAUCCUAAAUUGCAAGGCUGCUACCGAAAUUCGUCAAUAUCUUUACAAGGACGUCAUGGAAGAAACAACAAACCCAGAGACAGCUAAGGAUGCACCCUGAGCUUAGAUUGAUUCAGUGGAUAUCAAGGAAGGAGAAAAUCCUAGUGAACUCUAGAAAGACAUGAAAGCUCCUCCGGGAAAUUAAAUGUGGCAUUGGUGAAGCCUGAACGGGAUUCCUCUCAGAAACAGCAAGCUGAAGAUGAUGGAGUCCAAGCGACAGGAUCAUAUGUUGUUGGAGGUUCAACAUUUGGUUGGAACUUUAUAACAUACACCAGCAGGAGGCCAUCUAUUAUGGAUGAAGCAAAGUGUCCUUCCGGUCUGUAAAUGUUAAAUCUGAAUGAUGUUAGAAGCAAAGAGUCCUUCCAUUCUGCAAACGUUAAAUCCGAAUAAAGUUCCCAAAGUUCACUUUUA